This is a long non-coding RNA of Cavia porcellus (domestic guinea pig), 2089 nucleotides long. RefSeq lists it as uncharacterized. NCBI's taxonomy places the organism in Eukaryota, Metazoa, Chordata, Mammalia, Rodentia, Caviidae. The transcript has 5 exons. The record is from RefSeq and is a predicted model, not a curated record.
ACAGAAUUUAAUUAUACAGGACUGUGACAGAGCCACGACAUUGGAGGAGCUCACCAGUUGUUACAGAAAAUGACGAAGGGCUUCUUAAAAGAUCAACAUCGAGCUGGUACAUUGCGUGCUUUUGAACAGCGCUGAAUAGCUCUCCACACUUGAGUGGCACCCCACUGAGUCACUCACAGCCACGUGUGCCCAAAGGAACCCUGAGGACCAGGCCAAGGUGCUUGUCUCUGCCAGCUGCUAGUGUUUUCACAGAACCCAGGGAGCAGGAGUUGAAGCUGUGGCACGAUCAGAACAAAGAGUACCAGCCACUUAGCAGACGAUGCGUGGACCUGUCUUGAUUUUUGUGCAGACUCACAAAGCAAGAGUCUGUCCAAGAUCAGCAGCAUAUGCUUUAACGUUUUCAUCAGUGGGAAGGGUACAUCACAGCCCUCUUAAAGAUCCAGCAUUUCAGCUCUACACUUAGAGGCUCACUCUAAAGUACAAAAUCAUCAACCAGAAAGACUCUCUUGGAAACAUGAAUAGAAAGAACAAGAAAUAAUAAUAAAGUCAUCCCAACAAACAGUGAGAGAGGACAAAAGCUCCUGUCAUUAGUCAUCAGGAUGAAGUGCAGAGGAUCAGGAUCACUGAGGAUCUGUGUAAGAACUUGGCCCGGUGUCUGAAGCAUCCUGACUGUGCUCUUUCCGCUGCACCUCAGGAACCAGGGGAGAAUAUUUUUCUCUCCAGUUCCACAUCCUUUAGGCUCAGCCCAGAGAUCACAGAAUGGUUAAAAACGGUCAACCUAAAAUGAAAUGAUUCUCAAGGGAAGAAAGUUGAUCAUCCAAUUGGUAAAAGUUCUAGGGAGUCACUGGGUCAAAUUUGGCCAAGGGACGGGAUCCCAGAUGAAAUCUGCACAAUGCGGGCUCUCUGAGUUCCUAGUCCUCUGCCUUUGCAUCUGGGUAAUCCUGGUCUUGUCUGCUCUGGAGAAAUCAUCCUAUCUCUGAGGAAUAAAAUCUAUGAGGGCUCAGUGAAACCACCUUCACCCGUUCAGUCUAUCAGAAAAUUCUGCCUCAGGAGUGGGGAGGAUCUGAAAUGUUCUUGGUGUUUCUAUCUCUUUCAGAGGCAGAUUCUACAUCAGAAUUCAAAUAGGAAUCCAGUUUGCAAAUCCCUAACAGAUAUCUCUUUGCCCUGCCACAGCCCACCUCUGCCAAAAGGCAAGCCUGACCCUCUACAGCUCAGGACCUCCUUCCUUUUGGGGCAAGGUGUAUAGUAUCUUGAGAGAUAUUAAGUAUGUCUUCCAAAGGGAUUCUCCAGAGUUCUCACGUGAGAGAGGAUGCAAAAAGUACUAAUUGGGGAGAUGUUGGAACUUAGGACCCUGGGAAGCUAAGCAAGCACCUCCCUUCCCUGGUAAGCGGCUGUGAGUGGCAGGCUGUGGCCCUUCCAGGGGGAGAACCACCAGCAGCUCCUGAGAUCUACGCCAUGUUGGAACUUAGGACACUAGGAAGCCAAGCAAGCAGCUCCCCUCCCUGGUAACUGGCUGUGGUGUGGCAGGCUGUGGCCCUUCCCAGGGGAGAAUCAUCAGUGUCUCCUGAGAUCUGCACCAUAUUGGAACUUAGGACACUGGGAAACCAAGCAACCAGCCUGCCUCCCUGCUAAGCAGUAGUGAACCUACUGGUGCAUGGCCUAGAGCCUAACAUCCCACUUCCCCUACCCUCCUUCUCCUGUCCCCCAUUAGCAAAUGGGAACCAGAAAUCUGAGCAUCUCCUGGGAGGUUGACCAUAGCAAAUAAGGGGGAUUUCCUUCUACCAUCUCUUGGAAGGCAAAUAUUUUUAUUACUGUUUUGCUCUAUUCUGAUUAAUGGUACUGCUCUAUUCAAUAUUCUGUUUUGAUAAGUUCUAUAAUGUUCUGUAUUUCAUUUUAUUUUGAUAUAUGUGAUUAAAAGAACAACUAUUGUAAAGAUAACAAAUUAUUCUGUGAUACCUAUUACUGUUAUCCCAGUAACCUGCUGUGAAGUUCUGUAUCAAUUUCACUGUAUGAUCUUAGUUGGCUUUGUUCUGUCUUGUUCUGUUGUAUUUUACUAUUUUCAAAAUAAAAAUUUUUUUUAAAAAAGGUA